Cyprinus carpio carpio is the source of this 2458-nucleotide long non-coding RNA. The record is from Ensembl. Lineage: Eukaryota; Metazoa; Chordata; Actinopteri; Cypriniformes; Cyprinidae.
GAUUCAGUUCAUAAGAUAGAUUCGUUCGCGAAUCAGACGUCACACGUGAUGUCACCACGCUCGCUCUUCUUCGAUGGUUUGCGGCAGCGCUAUAAAUGCUGGCGCGCUACUGUGCGCGCUCUCUCAGUUCUGCGAUGGUUCAGCGGGAGUGCGCUAGAGCUUACAAAAAUGAGAAAGUCAGGCGGUUACAAGAAGGAGGCUGAAUGUGCUCUGGAUUUACUCCAGAUGAGGACUCUCCAGCUGCUGUAGCUCCGAUGUCACACAAGACCCCAAAAUGCCUCGAUCCCAACGGCCAGUACUGCUGAGGAUGAGGUAAAUAAGAUUGAGAAUUUGAAAGGUCCAUCGAGAUCAUCCUAUUGUGGGUAAGCUUUAAUCAUAACUUCAGUGUUGUGAACCAAGUUGAUACCAUCAUAGCAGAAGCGUUUCUCUGUGAUGUCUUUUAAUCUUGGGAUAGCAUAUGCAGGGUUGGCACUGAUUUUUGUUGAGACGGUCUGCAAAAAUCUGACAAAGAAGCCUGCUACACUUUAUUUAAACUAUUUACUGUUGAAUUUCAUCAUUUGUUUGACACCUCUUUCUGUUGUUGUAGGAAACAUGUGUGAAGAUCUUCAGAAAUCACGUUUUCUGUUCCAGCUUUUUUUUAAAUGUUAAAAGGGAUCAGUGCUCACUGUUAACAUUAUACAUAAAUGUAUUGUACAUGGUUACAAAUAUAAAAUCUUCCUUUAGUGGAGAUUCCUAGAACAGGGUUCUUCUUUUGUUCCUAGAGAGCCACUUUCCUAAAAUUAAUUUUUAUCAGAUUGGCGCUUAGUCAUCAUGGGAAUGACAUGCAGAUUGACAUAAAAAUAUCAAGGAUUUUUGCAUAAGGCUGCAACAAAAUGUGGAAAAUUAAGAGGUUUUGAAUGCACUGUUUAGGAUGUGUCCAUUCCUGCUUCUGGAGUGCCACUUUCAGCAGUUUAGCCCUAGCCCCAGUUAAACAUGCCUGAAUAAAGGUGUUCUGGAUCACUGGUCUUUCAAGCGUCUUUGGACCGCUCUUCUCUAGCAUUGUUUAAACAUGAGGCUGCUAUACGAAGACAAUGAAUGAGAUGUCUGAAAUGGUACAAUGUUUGAGUUGUCAGUUCUGUUAUUGUUUUUAAACACUGGACAAUAAAAAUGUAUGGAAGUGUUAAUUUGUCUGAAUACUUGAAACAAAGUUUUAAAACUUGCCCUGAGGUCUAGGUUUUUAAAUGAACCCACUAAAAAGCACUACCUGGGCCUCUCCUGUAUCAUCUUGUCUGCCAGGCCUCAGGUUUGAGGAAGAAUGAAGUGAAUACUGAGAGGAUGUCUCCCUCUACUGGAUUUACAACGUAACAAAAGGACAGUGGGAGAGGAUGGUUAUGCAUUUGUUCAUAUUUGAUCUGCUUUAGUCACUGUUUUGUGUAAUAUGGUUUUCACCUAAUGAUUGUCUCUGGACAAUGAGUUCUUAGCUGACUGUAUGUACACAAUAUGCCUGGUGUUUGAUCAGCUGUGCUGUAACUUGUAUUUAACCCUAUAAACUCUAAAAGUAGAUCAGUCCAAAAAUUAAAGUUUUAUUUUCUUUAUUAUUAUUAAACGUAGUGAAGCCUCUCCUUUCACGUCCAUUAAAAAAGGCUGCUUGAUUCCUCCCUGUGUACUGCCUGUAUAGGUCUUUGUAUUGAAUAAUAAAUGUCCUUCUUGAGACAUCUUUACACAGCUAAGUUAAGGCUGCUUUGUGCCUGCUCAGAGUUCUGUGUAAUGCUGCAUUAAAGCCAGACUGAUUUAAGGCUGCUCUGACCCACCUCGGUCCCGAGUGUCAAAACAUACAGUUGUGUUUGAUGUGUAAAGGCAUUUAUGAUACCUCUGAGCAACAUUAAACUGUAAAAACAUCUAAAUGCCACUGCAAAGCUGCUUGUAUGCCGCCUGGGAAGUGUAAAUUUGGCAUGCCUUAAAGUGGCUUUGAGUUGGAGGAAGUGGUGUGGUCACAUGCAUCUGAGUCUCGGGGAAACUUUUUUUAUGUAACCGACUUUUUUUUUUAAUGAUGAGAUAAAAAUGGUGCAGGAUUUGUUUUUAUUGAAUAUCUCAGAAGGAGAUGUGGAUGUAUUAAUAUCUAACACGUAUACACAAAAAAUAUAUAACUAUUACCUAAGCUUCUCUUAAGAAGCAGCUGUUUUACUCAGAUGGAUCUUUUUACUCAAGAUCAAGUUUCCACUCAGUCGGUGGCUCAGGGAGGUUUUUAAUAAUAUACCCAUGGAAUGAGCUUUAUAAAGGGAAGUGAGAGCACUUGUGUUAAGCUUUGUCCCAGCUAACAUUGCAAUUUCUUGAAGAAAUGUUUUUCUACAUCCUCUUGGAGCACUUCAGGGGGCUCCCAUCUUGGCUAAUACUUCAUAGUCAGGGCUAAUUAGUGAUUGUAGAUGAAUAAUGCUGUACUUUUUUAGUAUUGUGUUAUAGCAUGUAUGUUCUGUCCCUG